This 496-nucleotide ribosomal RNA is filed under the name uncultured bacterium. RNAcentral's name for it is "partial 16S ribosomal RNA". It matches the Rfam family "Bacterial small subunit ribosomal RNA", at positions 29 to 507 of the family's 1533-position model. The record is from RNAcentral.
AUGAACGCUGGCGGCGUGCCUAAUACAUGCAAGUCGAGCGAACAGACGAGGAGCUUGCUCCUCUGACGUUAGCGGCGGACGGGUGAGUAACACGUGGAUAACCUACCUAUAAGACUGGGAUAACUUCGGGAAACCGGAGCUAAUACCGGAUAAUAUAUUGAACCGCAUGGUUCAAUAGUGAAAGACGGUUUUGCUGUCACUUAUAGAUGGAUCCGCGCCGCAUUAGCUAGUUGGUAAGAUAACGGCUUACCAAGGCAACGAUGCGUAGCCGACCUGAGAGGGUGAUCGGCCACACUGGAACUGAGACACGGUCCAGACUCCUACGGGAGGCAGCAGUAGGGAAUCUUCCGCAAUGGGCGAAAGCUUGACGGAGCAACGCCGCGUGAGUGAUGAAGGUCUUCGGAUCGUAAAACUCUGUUAUUAGGGAAGAACAAAUGUGUAAGUAACUAUGCACGUCUUGACGGUACCUAAUCAGAAAGCCACGGCUAACUACGUG